CAUGCAGUCGAGCGGUACAGGAGAAGCUUGCUUUCUUGCUGACGAGCGGCGGACGGGUGAGUAAUGUAUGGGGAUCUGCCCGAUAGAGGGGGAUAACUACUGGAAACGGUGGCUAAUACCGCAUGACGUCUACGGACCAAAGCAGGGGCUCUUCGGACCUUGCGCUAUCGGAUGAACCCAUAUGGGAUUAGCUAGUAGGUGGGGUAAUGGCUCACCUAGGCGACGAUCUCUAGCUGGUCUGAGAGGAUGAUCAGCCACACUGGGACUGAGACACGGCCCAGACUCCUACGGGAGGCAGCAGUGGGGAAUAUUGCACAAUGGGCGCAAGCCUGAUGCAGCCAUGCCGCGUGUAUGAAGAAGGCCUUAGGGUUGUAAAGUACUUUCAGCGGGGAGGAAGGUGUUAAGAUUAAUACUCUUAGCAAUUGACGUUACCCGCAGAAGAAGGCACCGGCUAACUCCGUGCCAGCCAGCCCGGUAAUACGGAGGGUGCAAGCGUUAAUCGGAUUACUGGGCCGAAAGCCGCACGCAGGCCGGUCAAUUUAAGUCAGAAUUGAAAGCCCCGAACCUUAACUUGGGAAUUGCAUCCUGAAAACUGGUUGGCUAGAGUCUUGUAAAAGGGGGUAA
RNAcentral lists this ribosomal RNA (624 nucleotides) under uncultured bacterium. RNAcentral describes it as "bacterial SSU rRNA". It matches the Rfam family "Bacterial small subunit ribosomal RNA", at positions 54 to 664 of the family's 1533-position model. The record is from RNAcentral.